UGGGUAAGUGAGAUAUAUUCUACUUAAAUGUAAGCACUGAAAUUAAGAUGAUUACAAUCCCAAAGACAAAAUAAACAAUAAGAAAAAGAACAUAGUGUAUAAUACAAAUUUUGAACCCACUAUAACUAUACAUUCUGAAUUCGCCUCUGCUUACUUGUUCCAAGCUCCACUAGAAAGGAAAGGAAAAAGGAAUAUGAAUAUGAUUUCCUUUCAUUUGUUACAAAGAAAAGCUGCGGCCUUGCCAUUAAUUACUGGUUGGCCAGGACAUGGUAGAUGCUAGGGCAAAGCCUUGGGAACCAGGUGCUGCCGAUUCAACUCUAUUAUUUCACCCUACCAUAAUGACAUAGAAACCGUUAAUUUGCUUUCUUGCAGGAUAAAAAGAACAUUAGUUUUUGAGGAAUAUGAACAGCAUGCAUGUUUGGAUCCACAGCCUUCCCCAUUGAUCACUGAUGCUAUGAAAUUAUGUUUCUGCCAAAACAGUGUUCAAUAUUACAACAAAAAGAACAUGGGAAACAGAGGCAUAUAUGAAACACAAUGCGCCAUAUAUACAAGGGACAAGAAAGAUGAUGUUGUUUCUUCAACAAAUCUUAACUCACAUUUCAUUUUCAGUCGGUUCUAUAUAGUUAUUAGUUAUUUGAUAAAUAUAUUGGUUGACCAAAGAAUAUAACCAAGUAAUCUGACAGAAUAGAAUAUAUAGGAAUUUUCAUCUCAAGAUUUAGAAUAUCUUAUAUGCGUGUGUUAUCAUAUAAACGUGGCGAGCACAUAUACAUAUAUAAAAUAUCUUGGAAUACGUACACAUGUUUUGAGGUGAAAGCAACGGGUUCAACCUGCUAGAUGAUCCGUCUCCAUUUCCAGAUAUAUGAAUCUGCAUUUUUUCUUCAGUUAGAUGUGUUUUUCUU
RNAcentral lists this long non-coding RNA (899 nucleotides) under Nicotiana tabacum (common tobacco). RNAcentral describes it as "long non-coding RNA (NTAB_LNC010676)". Lineage: Eukaryota; Viridiplantae; Streptophyta; Magnoliopsida; Solanales; Solanaceae. The record is from RNAcentral.